UACGAAGGGGGCUAGCGUUGCUCGGAAUUACUGGGCGUAAAGGGCGCGUAGGCGGCCUACUAAGUCGGACGUGAAAUCCCUCGGCUCAACCGGGGAACUGCGUCCGAUACUGGUGGGCUCGAAUCCGGGAGAGGGAUGUGGAAUUCCAGGUGUAGCGGUGAAAUUCGUAGAUAUUGGGAAGAACACCGAUGGCGAAGGCAGCCAUCUGGACCGACACUGACGCUGAGGCGCGAAAGCGUGGGGAGCAAACAGG
Molecule: ribosomal RNA, 253 nt
Filed under: uncultured bacterium
Lineage: Bacteria
Description: partial 16S ribosomal RNA
Rfam family: Bacterial small subunit ribosomal RNA
Source: RNAcentral